GCCAAAGGGGUCACCACUUUCCUACCACCGCACCAGGGCCAGGAAGAGAGGAGGAGCCAGGAGGUGACAAGGGGGCGUUACCCAGGACCGGGGAGCAAGCCCCGCCCACCUCCCCGGCGCGGGGCCGACCCGCCGCAGUAACCCGGCGCCGUGACCUGCGGCAGCAUUUCUUCUCAAAGCCCACAAACCUGCAAGGCGUCCACCCCCUGCGAAUAGAUGUGUGUGAAGGUCACGCAAGGCGACGAGGUCUGGCCCGGCCUAAGCCUCCACUGGUUUUCACUGGGCUCUGCUGGGCUCGCUUGGCUUCCUCCUGCGCAUGUGCAGGUUCCCAGCCUGUCGGGCCGCGCGGAGAGCCCAUCUCGACCCUUGGGCUGUCCGGUUACAGGGUUUUCUGUAAAAUGUAUGGCUGGUCCGCCGCGUACCCCCAUCAGGAGCACAUUUUCGGGCUUGCAGAAAGAUUGGUCACCAGAUUUGCCCAAAGCGAUAAUCCUCAGAGUUUCUGAAAGUUUUCAAAUUUAUGUCAGUAAGACUAUUUUGAAAAACCUGAUGAAAAUUACGACCUCUCUCUCUGGGCGAAAGAAAGCACAUCCUCCAACACACAAAAUGUUGUCUGAAUCACAGGGAAAUGACUGCCCCAGAUGAAGGAUUCUGGGGAGAAGAAAACAACAAGAAAAGCAACAGUGCACUCCUGACCCCUGAAGUUCAGAGCCGAUUUUAUCCAGUGGUAGACAAAUUCAAGCAAGCUUCAUGCCUGUUCUCCCAGCUCAGAUCAAGUGGAUGGCCCUGGAAAGAGACAGACUGACCAAAAAUAGGCAACAGCACCAAGAAGACGCCAGAUUCCUAGAAACACGAUCAUUUACCACAAAGGCAAAAAGACAAACACAGUGGCUCGCUGAUGACAUCACUGUUCGGUAUGGAAUGGCACGAUAACCCUGAGGAGCAGAACGUUUAAGCCGUAUCCAGUGGAGCAUGUUUAGAAAGAUAAAAGGAUGUUUAAUGGAUUUUGGAGAGAUUCUAUCAAAACAUGAACUAUUACAGUGAUGACAGGCGAAGAGAUAAGUUGCAUAUCUCCCAAAUGAUGUCAACCAAAUGAACGGCUGUCGGCUAUAAUUACCCAAAUUAUAGUGAGAGGAGAGGCCAUACUUGCCAUGAUUUGGGGGAAUUUCUACCUAUUACAGACCUAUUAUUAAAAAGAAAAUUAUAACAAUUUAAUAAGCAAAAUUAAUGUCUAUUUUUUUCCAAAAAAGCAAUAAGGAGUUCUCUCCAACCUCAAAACUUAAAAGAGGGAACUUACAUCUCAGGUCACUCUAUUCCUGCUUCUAGUGAGAAGUCUGUUGGAGCUAGAUUCUUCCCCGGCACUCACUGAACACCUGAAUGUUUUUUCAGCUUGAAUGUCCCUGAAGGCAUCUUGAGCAAGGAGGCAAUGGCUACCACGAUCCCAGGGUUGCGCAUGGAAUAUCAAGACCCUAAGGAAUGAAAUAACUUAACUUGUGGGAGCAUGGAGUCCACUCAAUAGUAGAGCUUCCAAUGUUGACUCUUUUUCCAUUAUGUUGCGCUGUUGAUUGUUUUAAGGUACUUAAAAAUAAAAACGAGAGGAAUCAAGAUCUAAGAAUGGGUAAGAGACAGGACUCCAUCUGGGGACACCAUGGGGGGGGGUCUUUGCUCAAUUCCUCAACUCACUCUUGUGCCGCACUGUCCACAUUUUCCUUCCUCUAGAUCCUUCCCUUCUUUAAUCAGAGAAGCUUUAAGAGUAGCAAUAGCAGGCGGUCCCCAAAGUGAUGUAACCUAAGCGCCACCUAGGAAGAGCCUUUACUCCAAAUGUUUUCUCCACCACUCUCACUGUUUUGUUGUUUUUUUUCUUUUUAAAAUGUCA
This is a non-coding RNA of Sus scrofa (pig), 1873 nucleotides long. NCBI's taxonomy places the organism in Eukaryota, Metazoa, Chordata, Mammalia, Artiodactyla, Suidae. The record is from RefSeq and is a predicted model, not a curated record.